UCUGCACCAAAUGACUGAAGGCAAUUUGGUAACAUAAUCAGUUCUAUGACAAGGAGACAACAUAGACCAUGGUAUUUGGAUUGAAUAAAGACCUGCAUCAAACCUAAUUCCACUGCUCAGCGUUGGGUCAUCAGCUUUACAGGUCAUGGUUUUCAGCUACAUGUAAUGUGGGCUUGUGUCUCUAUUUAUGAACCUCAGCCACCUUCUGGGAGAAAAUGUUUUUUGUCAGAUCCCCUUGAAUCAUUCCACUAAUGCCCCAGUUUUUAUUUAUUCCGUUGCCCAGAGAAAUUAGUCUUUUAUGUAAUUGUAUAUUUUCCCUCGGGCCUGUUUUCUGCUCAAAAUUGAAUGUCCUCCAGCAUUCAACAUAAAAGGUUUAUAAUUAAAAGUUUUUUUAGCUUUGGGAUGUCCACUAAACAUUUAAUAACUAAUGAGGUACUCUGUAGUUAUGUUUUUUGUAAUCUUAAUUGUAUUGCAAACUGUCAUGAACAGAUAUGUGCAUUAUAACUGCAAGAAUACAAGUAAAUAGGUGCAAGUCUCAAAUCUGUCCCAUCAAUACAGAAUGAUCAUGGCUGAGCUGUCCCAGGUCUCAUCAUAUAAUAUUGUAAAGGGACUUUUGGUCUACUGCAUUGAUCAUCAAGUAUCCACUCUUAUUGAUCUUACAUUAAUCCUAUUAUUUGUCUCACAGACAGCAGUGGAAGUUGGGAUUGAACCUGGUUGCUCGACCUUUGUGACCUAUAAUUCCAUGAAUUUGCAAAUAGUCAUAGAGCUGUACAGCAAUAGACAAUAGGUGCAGGAGUAGGCCAUUCGACCCUUCGAGCCAGCACCGCCAUUCA
Molecule: long non-coding RNA, 833 nt
Organism: Amblyraja radiata (thorny skate)
Lineage: Eukaryota; Metazoa; Chordata; Chondrichthyes; Rajiformes; Rajidae
Exons: 3
Source: RefSeq, a predicted model, not a curated record